Molecule: unclassified non-coding RNA, 961 nt
Filed under: Hevea brasiliensis (rubber tree)
Lineage: Eukaryota; Viridiplantae; Streptophyta; Magnoliopsida; Malpighiales; Euphorbiaceae
Source: RNAcentral
GCUUGGAGAUAUAAGAAAAAGAAGGAACACGUUCAGUUCAAGACCAUGAUUAAAAGAAACAGAAAAUUCCAUAACCUCUACCUGUUUGCUCAAUGUAAUAACCAUAAAUGGAGUCUAUCAGCUUCACAUGCAUGUUCAGAGUUAGCUGGGUUAGUUUUUAGGCUUACCAGACUACAAGCAAAUGAAAAAAUAUUGUUGACCAGGUUAACUGUUUCAACAAAUAAGCCCUAUUAUUUGUAUUCACUUUGGAGAGCAUGAACAUAGCAGUCAAGACAGCAAGAUCCAUAAUCUGAAUAGUUCAACCAACUACCAAUCCUAGAUUUAAAGUAAGUAUAUUAAAGAAUCAAAUCCAAUUCCAUCAGUGACCCUUGGAGGAAACAAAAAGUGGAAAAACCAAGAUAAACCUGAAGGAGAUCAACCACAAUAAUUAGCAGAACAACUAGAGAUGACAAUAUGAGGAUGCGUAUAUAUACAAUGCCUUGCCUAACCAAUAAUAAUCACAAUACUAAUGCAGCUAUAGAAUUACUCUAGUUAAUGAUGCCACUAUCACCAUUUGCAUUUUGUCAGUUUAACACUCAUGUAGCUGCAAUAUUUCUGUUUCCAUAAUUUGCCCUGCUUCAUCCUUUAGGCAUUGAAUUCAUAGUUUCAAUUAACAUGGACCCGUAUGCCUCCAUAAAUAUUCAACUUUGAAGCAAUAUUUAUUGUAAAUCCGUUUUCUAGGCCUAAAAGAAGAGGAAAAGAAUAACAGAAACACCAACAUAGUCCCUCAAAGUGAAUUAAUUUAUUUGAACAUAGCAAAAACUGGACAGCAGCCAUGAAAAAAACUGUUAAUUUAAUUCCGUAGCACAUAAUCACAGCAAUAGCAGCAACAAUAAAAAUUACCCAUCAAACAAAAAACAACAGUAUUAAUUGAAUAAUAGAAUUGUUUUCGACUAUUAAACAUAACAAGAGAGAGAGAGAG